GUGCUCACUUAGGCAGCACAUAUGCUAAAAUUGGAAUGGUACAGAGAAGAUUAGCAUGGCCCCUGUGCACAGAUAACAUGCACAUUCAUGAAGCAUUCCGUAUUUUU
RNAcentral lists this small nuclear RNA (107 nucleotides) under Macaca nemestrina (pig-tailed macaque). Lineage: Eukaryota; Metazoa; Chordata; Mammalia; Primates; Cercopithecidae. The record is from RNAcentral.